UACAGAGGUGGCAAGCGUUGUUCGGAAUUACUGGGCGUAAAGGGCGCGUAGGCGGUUCGUUAAGUCCUGUGUGAAAUCCCCCGGCUCAACUGGGGAACUGCACAGGAAACUAGCGGGCUUGAGUUCGGGAGAGGGAAGCGGAAUUCCGGGUGUAGCGGUGAAAUGCGUAGAUAUCCGGAGGAACACCGGUGGCGAAGGCGGCUUCCUGGACCGGACACUGACGCUGAGGCGCGAAA
Molecule: ribosomal RNA, 236 nt
Filed under: uncultured bacterium
Lineage: Bacteria
Description: partial 16S ribosomal RNA
Rfam family: Bacterial small subunit ribosomal RNA
Source: RNAcentral